Molecule: unclassified non-coding RNA, 121 nt
Filed under: uncultured Ascomycota
Lineage: Eukaryota; Fungi; Ascomycota
Description: sequence contains ITS1
Source: RNAcentral
CUGAAUGGCCUUUUUGGGCCUGAAACCUUUCAAACCUGUGGAAGCAACAUGUGCUUCGGCGCCCCAGGGGCGCCGCUUUUAUGCUGUAAUCAGUCUUGUGUCUGAAUCUGAAUAAGAAUCA